RNAcentral lists this ribosomal RNA (560 nucleotides) under uncultured bacterium. RNAcentral describes it as "partial 16S ribosomal RNA". It matches the Rfam family "Bacterial small subunit ribosomal RNA", at positions 355 to 1375 of the family's 1533-position model. The record is from RNAcentral.
UGGGGAAUAUUGGACAAUGGGCGCAAGCCUGAUCCAGCCAUGCCGCGUGAGUGAUGAAGGCCUUAGGGUUGUAAAGCUCUUUCGACGGGGACGAUAAUGACGGUACCCGUAGAAGAAGCCCCGGCUAACUUCGUGCCAGCAGCCGCGGUAAUACGAAGGGGGCUAGCGUUGCUCGGAAUCACUGGGCGUAAAGGGCGCGUAGGCGGACAUUUAAGUCAGAGGUGAAAGCCCAGGGCUCAACCCUGGAACAGCCUUUGAUACUGGGUGUCUCGAGACCGGAAGAGGUUGGUGGAACUGCGAGUGUAGAGGUGAAAUUCGUAGAUAUUCGCAAGAACACCGGUGGCGAAGGCGGCCAACUGGUCCGGUUCUGACGCUGAGGCGCGAAAGCGUGGGGAGCAAACAGGAUUAGAUACCCUGGUAGUCCACGCCGUAAACGAUGGAUGCUAGCCGUUGGCGGGUUUACCCGUCAGUGGCGCAGCUAACGCGUUAAGCACCCCGCCUGGGGAGUACGGUCGCAAGAUUAAAACUCAAAUGAAUUGACGGGGUCAUAGCUGUUUCCU